GAGUUUGAUUCUGGCUCAGAACGAACGCUGGCGGCAGGCCUAAGACAUGCAAGUCGUACGAGAAAGCCCUUUCGGGGGUGAGUAGAGUGGCGAACGGGUUAGUAACGCGUGGGAACAUACACAGCACAGGGGGAUAACCAUUGGAAACGAUGGCUAAUACCGCAUACGCCCUAUGGGGGAAAGAUUUAUCGGUGUUGGAUUGGCCCGCGUUAGAUUAGCUAGUUGGUGGGGUAAUUGCCUACCAAGGCGACGAUUUAUAGCUGGUUUGAGAGGAUGAUCAGCAACACUGGAACUGAGACACGGUCCAGACUCCUACGGGAGGCAGCAGUCGGGAAUAUUGUGCAAUGGGGGCAACCCUGACACAGCCAUGCCGCGUGAGUGAAGAAGGCCUUAGGGUUGUAAAGCUCUUUCAGAUGUGAGGAUGAUGACGAUAGCAUCACAAGAAGCUCCGGCUAACUUCGUGCCAGCAGCCGCGGUAAUACGAAGGGAGCAAGCGUUGUUCGGAAUUACUGGGCGUAAAGGGCGUGUAGGCGGAUUAUCAAGUUAGGGGUGAAAUCCCGGGGCUCAACCUCGGCACUGCCUUUAAGACUGAUAAUCUAGAGUAUGUGAGGGGAUAAUGGAAUACCUAGUGUAGAGGUGAAAUUCGUAGAUAUUAGGUGGAACACCAGUGGCGAAGGCGAUUAUCUGGCACAUUACUGACGCUGAGGCGCGAAAGCGUGGGGAGCAAACGGGAUUAGAUACCCCGGUAGUCCACGCCGUAAACGAUGUAUACUAGUUGUCGGGCAUUGGUUCGGUGACGCAGCUAACGCAUUAAGUAUAUCGCCUGGGGAGUACGGUCGCAAGAUUAAAACUCAAAGAAAUUGACGGGGACCCGCACAAGCGGUGGAGCAUGUGGGUUAAUUCGAAGCAACGCGAAGAACCUUACCCACCUUUGACAUGGUAGUUUGGGGUAUUGGAGACGAUACCUUUCAGUU
Molecule: ribosomal RNA, 974 nt
Filed under: uncultured Alphaproteobacteria bacterium
Lineage: Bacteria; Pseudomonadati; Pseudomonadota; Alphaproteobacteria
Description: bacterial SSU rRNA
Rfam family: Bacterial small subunit ribosomal RNA
Source: RNAcentral